This 489-nucleotide ribosomal RNA is filed under the name uncultured bacterium. Its description in RNAcentral is "bacterial SSU rRNA". It matches the Rfam family "Bacterial small subunit ribosomal RNA", at positions 31 to 507 of the family's 1533-position model. The record is from RNAcentral.
AUUAGAACGCUGGCGGCAUGCCUUACACAUGCAAGUCGAACGGCAGCACGGGAGCAAUCCUGGUGGCGAGUGGCGAACGGGUGAGUAAUAUAUCGGAACGUGCCCGGUCGUGGGGGAUAACGUAGACGAAAGCUACGCUAAUACCGCAUACGAUCUACGGAUGAAAGCGGGGGAUCGCAAGACCUCGCGCGAUUGGAGCGGCCGAUAUCAGAUUAGGUAGUUGGUGAGGUAAAGGCUCACCAAGCCGACGAUCUGUAGCUGGUCUGAGAGGACGACCAGCCACACUGGGACUGAGGCACGGCCCAGACUCCUACGGGAGGCAGCAGGUGGGGAAUUUUGGACAAUGGGCGCAAGCCUGAUCCAGCAAUGCCGCGUGCAGGAUGAAGGCCUUCGGGUUAGUAAACUGUCUUUUGUACGGAACGAAACGGUGAGCUCUAAUACAGUUUGCUAAUGACGGUACCGUAAGAAUAAGCACCGGCUAACUACGUG